This 497-nucleotide ribosomal RNA is filed under the name uncultured bacterium. Its description in RNAcentral is "partial 16S ribosomal RNA". It matches the Rfam family "Bacterial small subunit ribosomal RNA", at positions 28 to 507 of the family's 1533-position model. The record is from RNAcentral.
GAUGAACGCUGGCGGCGUGCCUAAUACAUGCAAGUCGAGCGAACAGACGAGGAGCUUGCUCCUCUGACGUUAGCGGCGGACGGGUGAGUAACACGUGGAUAACCUACCUAUAAGACUGGGAUAACUUCGGGAAACCGGAGCUAAUACCGGAUAAUAUAUUGAACCGCAUGGUUCAAUAGUUAAAGACGGUUUUGCUGUCACUUAUAGAUGGAUCCGCGCCGCAUUAGCUAGUUGGUAAGGUAACGGCUUACCAAGGCAACGAUGCGUAUCCGACCUGAGAGGGGGAUCGGCCAAACUGGAACUGAGACACGGUCCAGACGCCUACGGGAGGCAGCAGUAGGGAAUAGUCCGCAAUGGGCGAAAGCAUGACGGAGCAACGCCGCGUGAGUGAUGAAGGUCUUCGGAUCGUAAAACUCUGUUAUUAGGGAAGAACAAAUGUGUAAGUAACUAUGCACGUCUUGACGGUACCUAAUCAGAAAGCAACGGCUAACUACGUG